RNAcentral lists this ribosomal RNA (300 nucleotides) under uncultured bacterium. Its description in RNAcentral is "bacterial SSU rRNA". It matches the Rfam family "Bacterial small subunit ribosomal RNA", at positions 498 to 795 of the family's 1533-position model. The record is from RNAcentral.
UAGCGAGGUGCCAGGAGCGGCGUUAAGAGGUGGGGGGGGAGGGUUGUCCGGAAUUACUGGGCGGAAAGAGCGCGUGGGUGGUUUGUCGCGUCGUCUGUGAAAUUCCGGGGCUUAAAGCCGGGCGGGCAGGCGAUACGGGCAUAACUUGAGUGCUGUAGGGGAGACUGGAAUUCCUGGUGUAGCGGUGAAAUGCGCAGAUAUCAGGAGGAACACCGAUGGCGAAGGCAGGUCUCUGGGCAGUAACUGACGCUGAGGAGCGAAAGCAUGGGUAGCGAACAGGAUUAGAUUACCCGGGUAGUC